RNAcentral lists this ribosomal RNA (515 nucleotides) under uncultured bacterium. RNAcentral's name for it is "bacterial SSU rRNA". It matches the Rfam family "Bacterial small subunit ribosomal RNA", at positions 56 to 615 of the family's 1533-position model. The record is from RNAcentral.
UGCAAGUCGAGCGCCCGUAGCAAUACGGGAGCGGCAGACGGGAGAGUAACACGUGGGAACGUACCUUUCGGUUCGGAAUAACCCAGGGAAACUUGGGCUAAUACCGGAUACGUCCGUAAGGAGAAAGAUUUAUCGCCGAAAGAUCGGCCCGCGUCCGAUUAGCUAGUUGGUGAGGUAAAGGCUCACCAAGGCUACGAUCGGUAGCUGGUCUGAGAGGAUGAUCAGCCUCACUGGGACUGAGACACGGCCCAGACUCCUACGGGAGGCAGCAGUGGGGAAUAUUGGACAAUGGGCGCAAGCCUGAUCCAGCCAUGCCGCGUGGGUGAUGAAGGCCUUAGGGUUGUAAAGCCCUUUCGGCGGGGAAGAUAAUGACGGUACCCGCAGAAGAAGCCCCGGCUAACUUCGUGCCAGCAGCCGCGGUAAUACGAAGGGGGCUAGCGUUGCUCGGAAUCACUGGGCGUAAAGCGCACGUAGGCGGAUCUUUAAGUCAGGGGUGAAAUCCUGGAGCUCAACUC